RNAcentral lists this ribosomal RNA (530 nucleotides) under uncultured Nitrososphaerota archaeon. Its description in RNAcentral is "bacterial SSU rRNA". It matches the Rfam family "Archaeal small subunit ribosomal RNA", at positions 451 to 981 of the family's 1478-position model. The record is from RNAcentral. Lineage: Archaea; Thermoproteati; Nitrososphaerota.
UCUGGUGUCAGCCGCCGCGGUAAAACCAGCACCUCAAGUGGUCAGGAUGAUUAUUGGGCCUAAAGCAUCCGUAGCCGGCUCUGUAAGUUUUCGGUUAAAUCUGUAUGCUCAACAUACAGGCUGCCGGGAAUACUGCAGAGCUAGGGAGUGGGAGAGGUAGACGGUACUCGGUAGGAAGGGGUAAAAUCCUUUGAUCUAUUGAUGACCACCUGUGGCGAAGGCGGUCUACCAGAACACGUCCGACGGUGAGGGAUGAAAGCUGGGGGAGCAAACCGGAUUAGAUACCCGGGUAAUCCCAGCUGUAAACUAUGCAAACUCAGUGAUGCAUUGGCUUGUGGCCAAUGCAGUGCUGCAGGGAAGCCGUUAAGUUUGCCGCCUGGGAAGUACGUACGCAAGUAUGAAACUUAAAGGAAUUGGCGGGGGAGCACCACAAGGGGUGAAGCCUGCGGUUCAAUUGGAGUCAACGCCAGAAAUCUUACCCGGAGAGACAGCAGAAUGAAGGUCAAGCUGAAGACUUUACCAGACAAGCU